This is a long non-coding RNA of Colossoma macropomum (tambaqui), 1808 nucleotides long. RefSeq lists it as uncharacterized. Lineage: Eukaryota; Metazoa; Chordata; Actinopteri; Characiformes; Serrasalmidae. The record is from RefSeq and is a predicted model, not a curated record. The transcript is spliced from 2 exons.
CCAAAUAAAAAACUAUUCUGAAGGAAAAGGUUCACGUCCUCUUAUGGUCUUUGGUUCUACAUCACUGUCUAACUAAUACACAGAUUUGUAGGCUCCAUUACUGCACCACUGUAUAACACACAGUUAAAAGUGCUGUGCGGUUUUUACCUGAACCAACUGAGUAACGAGUCUUAAGUGAACAGAGUCCAUUAAAGCCUGUAGUCCACCUGUUGGGGAAUGAUGAUGUAUAUUGGGUUGGUCUCCCAGACAGAGAUUAAGUAUUGUCUUAGACUAAAAAGUAGUCCAGGACUAGAUUUAAUCCUUGUCUGGGAAACUGAGUGUUAAUGCGUAUAUUUCUAGGAUGCUCAUUUUGUUUAUAAAACCAGUUUCAGGUGCUGAUGAGGCACAAAGCCCACCAAGGAAAGACAGAGCACCAAAGCGGCAAAGACGGGAGGAAACAGAUGGUGAUGAACAAACAGAAAUGGAUGAGGAGGAUGGUGAUUAUGUCCCCCUACCAUUUGUAAGAAGAAGGUGAAGAAGAAGCUGCUGACGGAACAGCCCAGCGAGUUUAACAUGUAUAUUCUAAAGCACUGCCCUGCACUUUUCACCAGUCUUAUUCACAAGGAGCCAGUCUGACUGCAGGUUUUCAUUCCCUUUAAGGAGAAGCACAGCUGAGUCCACACGUUUCAUCAUUUGGUCUCAGUCUUUAAAGAGUUUGUUAGCAGUAUGAGGUCUGAUCCUGGUUGCUUGGACGGAAAACAUGUAGUCACCCUGGCUCUUCAUGGAGAAGACUGGUGAUCUGUUUAGGUGGAAGAUCGUGGUGAGUUUUAUUCUGCAUAUACUGAACUGGUAUGAAUGUCCUCUUAAACAUAACGGGCCACAUUCAUAAAACUUGGUACGCACAAUCAGGAUAAGCUGGUGGCUGCGAGUCCCACAUCACUGGAGAGUCACCAUGAUAUUCACAGUUUUGUUCUCUAUUACUAGAUAAAUUACACUACAGUGGCCAAAUUAAAGAUGAAAAAGUUGUUUGGCUCAUCAGUUUAUAGUUACUCAGAUGAGUGGAUUUGUGGGAUUUGUUGCUGUUUAUUAGGUACACUUGUCCUGUAUAUAAACUUAUUGGCUACUUUAUUAGAAACCCCUGUCUUACAGCUCACUAUACACAGUCUUAUCAGAAUAUUAUGACCACCUCUUGUUUCUACACUCUCUGUCCAUCAUAUCAGCUCUGUUUACCACACAGUUUCACUCUGUAGUUCUACAGUUUCAGACUGUAGUCCGUCUGUUUCUCUGCAUACUUUGUUACCCUGUUCUUCAGUGGUCAGGACCCCCAUGGACCCCCACAGAGCAGGUACUAUUUGGGUGGUGGGUCAUUCUCAGCACUGCAGUCACACUGACGUGGUGGUGGAGUGUUAGUGUGUCAGCGUCACUGCAGUGCUGAGAAUGAUCCACCACCUAAAUAACUAUAUGGUAAACAGAGCUGCUGUAAUGGACAGAGAGUGGGUGAUACGAGUUCUGAUCCCAUUAAUUUUGGCAUGUCAGUGUCGUCCACCUGUUGCUGCACAGUUUAUCAGCCACCCCAUGCCCCAUUCAUCAUCGGUCAGUUUCUGACCACAGGCCCGCUGUUGUCCAGAUAUUAUUUGGGUGGCGGACUGUUCACACAUCGCAACUGUUACAGUUUAACUUCACUUCUCUGCUGCUUUCAGACCCGCUCAACACAGGAGGCGAGCGUGGAGCGACGACGAAAGAGCUGCUGCACUCAGACAUUUGGGAGUUUUCCUUGAACGUUACGAGGUUCCAGGAAAAAAGGACUGAAUUUCAUGUAUCGAGAACGA